This 511-nucleotide unclassified non-coding RNA is filed under the name Hevea brasiliensis (rubber tree). Lineage: Eukaryota; Viridiplantae; Streptophyta; Magnoliopsida; Malpighiales; Euphorbiaceae. The record is from RNAcentral.
CUUUGCAGGUUCACUGGCUGUCUUUCGAAGCCGUUCUGAUAGGCGAAUAUAACCAAAAGACCAAAAAACAGAUACAAAUGCAGCUGCAAUACCAGCAGCAGUGGAAUAAAAUGUAGCCGGUGAUGAAAUCCUCCCGGUAAUAACUGCAGAGAAUGAUAAUAUUACCGCAGAUACAACAGUGCACACCAGCUGUCCCCAAAAUCCCAAACUACCCAACCGCUUGAAGUAUCUAGAGGUCUUCUCUAACCUCUUUGAAACCUGUUCCAGCUUUGCCCGUUCGGAUUCUUCACUGUAGGGAGGGACGGGCGUGGCGUAUGGUGAGGCCGAGGCAUGAAGAUCACGGCCGGCGAUUCUGAUCUUGUGGCCCAGGAGUCUGUGAGCGGAGGGGGUGAAGGAGGGGAGGGGAAUCGAGAGACGUGAGGGUGAGGGGCGAGAGAUCGGCGGCAAACUGCGGCGGAGUACAGCCGGCGGUGGCGGCGGCAGCAGCAGCGCCAUCAUCGUCUUGUGGCGG